RNAcentral lists this ribosomal RNA (117 nucleotides) under Pteropus alecto (black flying fox). The record is from RNAcentral. Lineage: Eukaryota; Metazoa; Chordata; Mammalia; Chiroptera; Pteropodidae.
GUCUAUGGCCAUGCUAUCCUGAACAAGCCUGAUCUCGUCUGAUCUCGGAAGCUAAAGAGUUGGGCCUGGUUAGUAGUUGGAUGGGAGACCACCUAGGAAGACCAGGUGCUGUAGGCA